GCUUUGGCUUAGGCUUAGGCUUAGGCUUAGGCUUAGGCUUAGGCUUAGGCUUAGGCUUAGGCUUAGGCUUAGGCUUAGGCUUAGGCCAAGGUUUAGGCUUGGGCU
This is a non-coding RNA of Caenorhabditis elegans, 105 nucleotides long. Lineage: Eukaryota; Metazoa; Nematoda; Chromadorea; Rhabditida; Rhabditidae. The record is from Ensembl.